AGUAACGCGUAAAGAACUUGCCUCACAGCUAGGGACAACAUUUGGAAACGAAUGCUAAUACCUAAUAUUAUGAUAAUAGGGCAUCCUAUAAUUAUGAAAGCUAUAAGCGCUGUGAGAGAGCUUUGCGUCCCAUUAGCUAGUCGGAGAGGUAACGGUUCACCAAGGCGAUGAUGGGUAGCCGGCCUGAGAGGGUGAUCGGCCACAAGGGGACUGAGACACGGCCCUU
RNAcentral lists this ribosomal RNA (226 nucleotides) under uncultured bacterium. RNAcentral's name for it is "partial 16S ribosomal RNA". It matches the Rfam family "Bacterial small subunit ribosomal RNA", at positions 109 to 334 of the family's 1533-position model. The record is from RNAcentral.